GGAGGUGUACCUCAGUGGUAGAGUGCUUGCCUAGCAUGCAUGAGGCCCCGGGUUCCAUCCCCAGCACUGCCC
This 72-nucleotide transfer RNA is filed under the name Heterocephalus glaber (naked mole-rat). It matches the Rfam family "tRNA". Rfam says of the family: Transfer RNA (tRNA) molecules are approximately 80 nucleotides in length. Their secondary structure includes four short double-helical elements and three loops (D, anti-codon, and T loops). The record is from Rfam by way of RNAcentral. Lineage: Eukaryota; Metazoa; Chordata; Mammalia; Rodentia; Bathyergidae.